Cryptomeria japonica (Japanese cedar) is the source of this 914-nucleotide long non-coding RNA. RefSeq lists it as uncharacterized. The record is from RefSeq and is a predicted model, not a curated record. Lineage: Eukaryota; Viridiplantae; Streptophyta; Pinopsida; Cupressales; Cupressaceae. The transcript has 3 exons.
GGUAGCAGAAGCGCACCACCUUGCACUCAAUCUCGCAUUGUGAUUUUAUGUUCUGGUUUGCCAACGGGCUAUAAAAUUUUAGGGGCGAACACACACUACACUUUCUAGUUUCCGAAUACAAAUGGUCGGCAUGUCUUUGCUCCUGGCAGAUCUUGUUAUCGAUAUGGAAGUGAUUUUAUCGAUGCUGGUAGGUUUGCCUCUAUCUAUGGUGCUGGCGAAUCAAUCCGUGGUGGGCUGAACUGGUGGAAUCUCAACCAUGCAAUCAUGGUAUUCCAUAAGGUCACGUUUCUUAGAGGCAUUCUAUCAAACAAAGAAAUUACCUUGCCUAUGCUUUCACAUGUUGCAUUACAAGAGCAUAUCAAACUAUCAUUUCUGUCAAAUAUCCCUCUUCUAUCAUACUUUGAUGGAUGUCUAUACCGUGUUCCAAAGAUCUCCCAUUUUAGCAAACACGGUGAGGAUCUUGGUAAAGGUUCUGGAAUUUGGUUGUACACUUCCAAUUGUAUUUGGCUGAAAGUUUCUAAAGCCUUUUCAACAAAUCCAUUUUGUGCAUAUCUUGCAGUCAUUCCAUUCCAUGAGAUGACAUCUCCUCUAGGCGUUGUGUCAAACAGUUGACAUGCAUUCCGACUCCAGAAAUAUUUAAAUGAUAUCCUAUUCCUAUGAGAGGGCCAUAUAGUCAACCAUGGACCUCGCGGAGUGUACUGGAGCUUUUUUGAAAGCUAUGGAUUCAAAUGCCUGAGAGAGAGAGAGAGCACUACAGAUUUCUUACAUGAGGUCACAUCAAAGGAGGACCAAGAACAUUAGUGGGAAGACACGAGAUCACCAUAUUAGUAUGUACAUGUGAAGUAAUUUGUAUCUAGAUUCAAGCAAUUUCAUAAAGGUUUGUGGUUGGAAAUUGAACUGUCAAGUUAUUAGCA